CUUGUUUUAGGUUAAAUAUGACCAAUUAUUUUGUAAAUAAAAAGAUAUAACAAAA
This 55-nucleotide transfer RNA is filed under the name Agamermis sp. BH-2006. RNAcentral's name for it is "tRNA-Thr". The record is from RNAcentral. Lineage: Eukaryota; Metazoa; Nematoda; Enoplea; Mermithida; Mermithidae.